Molecule: ribosomal RNA, 253 nt
Filed under: uncultured bacterium
Lineage: Bacteria
Description: partial 16S ribosomal RNA
Rfam family: Bacterial small subunit ribosomal RNA
Source: RNAcentral
UACGUAGGGGGCAAGCGUUGUCCGGAUUUACUGGGCGUAAAGGGCAUGCAGGCGGUCCGACACGUUUUGUGUGACAGCGGGUGGCUUAACUACCCGAGGAUACGAAAGACGGUUGGACUUGAGGACUCGAGAGGGACACGGAAUUCCGGGUGGAGUGGUGAAAUGCGUAGAGAUCCGGAGGAACACCGAAGGCGAAGGCAGUGUCCUGGCGAGUGACUGACGCUGAGGUGCGAAAGCCAGGGGAGCGAACGGG